This 465-nucleotide ribosomal RNA is filed under the name uncultured bacterium. RNAcentral's name for it is "partial 16S ribosomal RNA". It matches the Rfam family "Bacterial small subunit ribosomal RNA", at positions 28 to 507 of the family's 1533-position model. The record is from RNAcentral.
GACGAACGCUGGCGGCGUGCUUAACACAUGCAAGUCGAACGGAAAGGCCCCUUUGGGGGUACUCGAGUGGCGAACGGGUGAGUAACACGUGAGUAACCUGCCCUUGACUUCGGGAUAACUUCAGGAAACUGGGGCUAAUAACGGAUAGGAAUCAUUGCUGCAUGGUGGGGGUUGGAAAGCUUCGGCGGUUUUGGAUGGACUCGCGGCCUAUCAGCUUGGUGGUGGGGUGGUGGCUUACCAAGGCUUUGACGGGGAGCCGGCCUGAGAGGGCGACCGGCCACAUUGGGACUUGGGUACGGCCCAGACUCCUACGGGGGGCAGCAGGGGGGAAUAUUGCACAAUGGGCGGGAGCCUUGUGCAGCAACGCCGCGGGCGGGGUGACGGCCUUCGGGUUGGAAACCGCUUUCAGCAGGUGCGGAGCUGGUGGUGACGGUACCUGCAGAAGAAGCACCGGCUAACUACGUG